Molecule: RNA transcript, 1361 nt
Organism: Fundulus heteroclitus (mummichog)
Lineage: Eukaryota; Metazoa; Chordata; Actinopteri; Cyprinodontiformes; Fundulidae
Gene name: butyrophilin-like protein 2
Exons: 10
Source: RefSeq, a predicted model, not a curated record
CCACUGUGUUUUAAGAACGCUACGGUUGUUAGCAGGCAGAUUAGAGCAGCUAUGGAGAUGGAGCUUCUUUUACUGCUGACCAUCUGCCUUCUGAUGUUUAGUGGAAAAACGUUUGGUAAUGAAACCGGUCAUGACAAGAUUAUCAUCAAAGAAGAUGAGGAUGUCAUCCUACCUUGCUCUCUCAAAACAAUUCAUGAAGAUGACAAAUCAAAUUUUGACUGGAAAAUGGAUGACAAGGAUGUAUUAUUAUAUGAGAGUGGCACAGUUAACCCUUCCACUCAACAUGAUCAGUUUAGAGGUCGGGUCUCUCAUUUUCAAAAUGGGGAAAAGUCUGAAAAUGCUUCAAUAAAAAUAAUAAAAACAAAGGUGUCCGACAGUGGACAAUACACCUGCAUUGACAUUAACCAACUUCCUCCAGAGAAACUUAACCAAGUUGUGCUUACUGUAGAAUACAUCUUAAAGGACAGAACAGGAGAAAAGACAACUGGUGCAUAUGCAGAACCAUCAGUCAGAACAGUCAAUGAAAAUGAUGACUGGGCACUGCUGAGGUGUAAAGUUCUUGGUGCUUCUCCUAAACCCAUUGUAGUCCUGUACAACAGCACUGGAAACAAGGUUUCUGAUAAAGAACCGCAGAUCAUUCAAAAUGGCAACCACUAUGAUGUGAUCCUGGAGACCACAGUGACCAAGACAGACAAUUAUACCUGUGUAGCCACACAGGAGGAACUUCAUCAUCAGUCUAAUGACACUACAUUUGUGCAUUUCGGAGAAAAGGACAGAGCAGGAGAAAAAACAAACGGUGAAGGAAAUGGUGAUACCAGAUGGAGUGGUGGGAUCACAUUAGGAAUUAUCAUUGGAGUUGUUAUUGGAGUUCUUAUUGGAGUUCCCUUUGGAAUAGUUUUUAUUCGAUGGCGGAGGUCUAAUGAAGUUGCUAAUAAAAAGAUUCCAGUUAGACGAGAUGACACAACCAACAGCCACUCAACUCCACUACAAAACGGGGCACAAGGAGAUCACUAUGCACAAAAUAACUCAUCAGGUUUGUGAAAUGACCCCAACGGAAACAGAUGACGAGACAACCAGACAACUAAAAGAGGUACCCAAACAGAAGAUGACAAGACCAAUGACGGCAUAAAUGCUCUAAACCGAGCAAGAGAUAAGGAUUCACUUAUAUGUAGAUAUAAAAUAAUGAAAAAAGCUCCCAUUAUUGUAUUCAUGUAUCUGAAUCAAUUUUGUGCACUGUUCUUUGGCUUCUCAGCUACAUUAUUUUAGUUUGUUUUUGUGUUUUACUGAUUUUGUAAUGGGCUGGUAUUACUUUACCAAUUUCCCUUUUUGUAAAUAAUAAAGAUAAAUUGCAGGAAUGUGAA